RNAcentral lists this long non-coding RNA (540 nucleotides) under Homo sapiens (human). Its description in RNAcentral is "non-protein coding LINC01514:6". The record is from RNAcentral. Lineage: Eukaryota; Metazoa; Chordata; Mammalia; Primates; Hominidae.
CAGGCGUGAGCCACCGCACCCGGUGAUGCCCAAUCUUUAGAUGAAACCUCCUCUCUGUCUGGCCCAGGGCUGGGUGGUCACAGAGUCAAGGCUCAGUCUGCAUUAUUUCCUUGGCCUCUCCCCCGGCAUCUUCUGCACCUCACUCUGCACUCCCCGAUCCCUCCAGGUGAGCCCAGGACCUGCCACACUGUGCCAGCCUCGCCCAAGCCACCCCCCAGCCAGGACGCGGUCUUUCCUGACUCAGCAGGCUGAGGCACCUGAGGCUUUCAUUUUAAUUAUGAACCACUUCAAAGCCUUUCUGGAAGCAGUCUCUGCAAUAACCAACCUGGGUUCUCUCCUAAUGUGGGGAUUGUCCUGGAGCCCAGGCCUUCCAAGGCUCCUCCGCCCGCCAACAUCACCUACCUCAUCUUCCUCUUCAGCACAUCCCCAACAUUGUCUAAGCGGUAACUCACCUGAGCAAAGCACUUGACACGGAUUCAUUCAUUUACUCCUCACAACAACCUGAUGAGCUCCCGGCGAGCGGCCCGAAGGAGAGCAGAG